UGUCUUUUCUUGGAAUGACAAACUUGGGAAUUGAUUCCAGCCUAGUGAGUCAUUUGGAUGUCUUUACUCUUCACAUCAUAGGGCACGCAGCAGGCCUCAUCAUGAGGGAUGAAAUCUAUACCUGCUGGUUCUUCUGUGGACUUGGAAUUUACCAUCACAAAGAUAACUCAAACCUAGCACUUCCAAGAGGUUGAGCCCCAGUACCUUGACUGAGGAACUGUCAAAACAGGCUUGCAAAAAUAUAGUAUAUUUUGAGUGUUUAAAUUUAAUAAACUAACACUUGUGAAACACUAUAAACUUAAUGCAACAUAAUUGUGUGAUGACUUGUAAAAUUUAAUUCAAGUUGUACAGUUUUAUAAUGGGGUAAUUGUAUAGUUGCACGAGAAAAAAAGUCCUCUCCACGUCUAUCCUGAAUCUCAGUGACCAUAUGUAUAACCUAGUUUGAAGUUAAGGUGAAAGUCUAAAUUUGACAUAUUUUGUGAAUAAGAGGCCUGGACCAAUGCCAUCCUAGAUAAGCUACUUGUUCUCCCUGUUCUCAAAGGGACACAAUGAAAUCACAUAUAAAAAAUAUUUUUGAGUAACAAGAUAAUUAAAUUUGGUGAGAGAGUGCUAUUCUUAAAAUCAAUAUGUUGGCAGGAUGGUUCUUUUCAUCUUUGCUAAAGUUUGCUAUAUCUCUGGUCCUAAUGUUUUUGAGCAUAGUUUACUGCAUAUCUCUUGCCAGGUCAGCUGAAUAUGAACUUAAAGAGACUUAACAAAACAGGAAAUAUGCAUUGAUGAUUUAGAAUUCCACUGUGCGACAAGUAAGAGCAAGUGCCUUGGGCAAGGGACUUGGGUAUUAUCUCCAUAACAUGCUGUGCCAGGCUGCAUAUUCAGGACAGGAUCUCUGACAGUGGAGAAAUAAUGACUUUCUGACAGACUGCUAGGGUGCCAGCAUGGAUUUUCCUGGCUUCAGUGGAAUAACUCAUUUUUCCAUCUGUAAAUAGAGUACUGACACAUUAGCUUCAUAUAAGCUUGAUGUUAGUCAGGGGCACUUUGGGGUACAAUUUUGAAGCUCUAGGGAAAUUUUAUAGCAAAGGUUAAAGUCCAGAGAGGAAAAGAGUCUAGAGAGAAAUUGAAAAUUGGGCACAAAUGGAGUAUAGUUUGACCCCCACAGCUCCUGCAUACAAACUGCAGACCCAGCUGCAGUAGGUGGUAGUGAAAUGAGGGAAGUUCUAGGGGGGACUCCAUCCUCUUCAGCAAGUGACACAUGGUGUGAAACCACACGGUAGCUUGGCAGUAUGGGGCAGCUGCUGCUUAGUCACUCCUAACUCAGGAACCUAGUAUUGAAACUUGAACAAGCCUUCCCUGUCUGGCUGUAAUGCAGCCCAGACAUCCCUUGUUAACAAGUUAGUCAACAGUGCUCUGAACAAUAUCCGGUAAGUCUGGUGUCUUACUUGCCGAACCAGUCAAAACAAGAAAAGUGGGCUCUGUUGGAACAUUCCCUUUGGUUAACUGAAGAUCUCUAGUUUCAUUUCUCCCCACCACCAUCCCCUUUGUUCAUUCCUUGUGCAUUCAGUCAGCAGAGGAGCCGGGGGGGGAUAUGACGAACUUUCACUGAGUAUAUACUACGUGCUGGUUACAGUUUCAGGAAUACGAAGCUGUAAGGUUUACUCUCUUUCUGCAGGAAGCUCACAGUCCAGCUAAGGAGACACAUACAAAAAUAAACAAUGGUGAUCCUUAGGGGUAGAUACAAUACUGGAAGUGGUACUUGGUACAACGGUAGCUCAUAGGAGGGAGAGACAGAAUGGCUUAAUUGGAUCCUUCACAAAAACUGAUAUCCAUCAUUAUUCCACUUCCGCUGUAUGCCAGACACUGUAUCAAAUAUUUCACCUGUUUUAUCUCAUUUAAUUCUCCAUUGACUACCAUUUCAAAGAUUAGUAAAACAAAGCUCCAGGAAAACAAGUAACAUACCCAAGGCCAUGAAACUAGUAAGAGGCAGAGCCAGGAUUGAAGUCGAGGUCAGUCUGUCUUUCAGUUCUCUGAUGCUCCUCACCG
This is a long non-coding RNA of Papio anubis (olive baboon), 2034 nucleotides long. The record is from Ensembl. Lineage: Eukaryota; Metazoa; Chordata; Mammalia; Primates; Cercopithecidae.